UUUGCAAACUCUGCCUUUUUCAGAACAGGAAAAUAUUUUGACAAAAUUCAAAGGGAAGGAACUUGGUAAAAUAUUGAAGUCAUUGGGACAGCCAGCAUUUUUUGGGAAAAAAAAGAGAAACAAAUACAGACCCUCUUGGAUACAAUAAAGAGAGGACAGAUAUGCAUAAAUUUUCCCAAAGAGUUGGCAAAAUAACUCUCAAAGAUAAACUGGCCACAGUUGCGAGCAAUUUGGUGGCAGAAUAUGUGAUAGCACUGUUUACGUUAUAUCCAUAAGCAAUUGCAGUCAUGUUGGUUGUACCGCCACAUGAUUGCCUUUGCACCGAGAAGAAAGACUCAACUAGAUCUUGACUUAGUCGCUUUGGAAUCACAUAAUGGCUUCCUUGGAGGGAUUGGAUUUCAGGACUUCCAAUGAAUUUAACAAGUUCCUUAAAGCCGUUAAUUGAAACCUGCAAAGUCAAAGAAAACAGUUGGUCA
This is a long non-coding RNA of Dendronephthya gigantea, 476 nucleotides long. RefSeq lists it as uncharacterized. The transcript is spliced from 3 exons. The record is from RefSeq and is a predicted model, not a curated record. Lineage: Eukaryota; Metazoa; Cnidaria; Anthozoa; Malacalcyonacea; Nephtheidae.